UACUACGGCCAUACCACCCUGGGCGCGUCUGAUCUUGGAAGCUAAGCAGGGUCGGGCCUGGUUAGUACUUGGAUGGGAGACCGCCUGGGAAUACUGGGUGCCGUAAAAA
Ribosomal RNA from Cavia aperea (Brazilian guinea pig), 109 nucleotides. Lineage: Eukaryota; Metazoa; Chordata; Mammalia; Rodentia; Caviidae. The record is from Ensembl.